AUGGAGUUGGUCCUGAAAUGGGUUUUCCUGUUUGCAGUUUUCAAAGGUGUCCUGUGUAAGGUACGGCUGGUGGAGUCCGAAGGAGGCUUGGUACAGCCUGGGGGAUCUCUGCGACUCUCUUGCGUGGCUUCGGGAUUCACCUUCAGUAGCUAUGGCAUGGACUGGAUCAACCAGGCUCCAAGGAAGGUGCUGGAAUGGAUUUCAGCUAUCAGUAGCAAUAGUAAAAAUACAUACUACGCAGACUCUGUGAAGGGUCGAUUCACCAUCUCCAGGGACAAUGGCAAAAACACGCUGUAUCUGCAAAUGAGUAGCCUAAGACUCGACGACACGGCCAUGUAUUACUGUGCAAGAUACACAUUGAGGGAAACCUCUGUGGGAGUCAGUCAUAAACCUCCGUGUUGGAAUACAUAG
Molecule: non-coding RNA, 411 nt
Organism: Cavia porcellus (domestic guinea pig)
Lineage: Eukaryota; Metazoa; Chordata; Mammalia; Rodentia; Caviidae
Source: the annotation of a RefSeq genome assembly